This 73-nucleotide transfer RNA is filed under the name Nanobdellota archaeon. Its description in RNAcentral is "tRNA-Val". It matches the Rfam family "tRNA". From Rfam's summary of the family: Transfer RNA (tRNA) molecules are approximately 80 nucleotides in length. Their secondary structure includes four short double-helical elements and three loops (D, anti-codon, and T loops). Further hydrogen bonds mediate the characteristic L-shaped molecular structure. tRNAs have two regions of fundamental functional importance: the anti-codon, which is responsible for specific mRNA codon recognition, and the 3' end, to which the tRNAs corresponding amino acid is attached (by aminoacyl-tRNA synthetases). tRNAs cope with the degeneracy of the genetic code in two manners: having more than one tRNA (with a specific anti-codon) for a particular amino acid; and 'wobble' base-pairing, i.e. permitting non-standard base-pairing at the 3rd anti-codon position. The record is from RNAcentral. RNAcentral also lists the same sequence under 1 other name. Lineage: Archaea; Nanobdellati; Nanobdellota.
GGGCCCGUGGUCUAGUGGCUAUGACACCACCCUCACACGGUGGGGGUCCCCGGUUCGAAUCCGGGCGGGCCCA